GAUGAACGCUGGCGGCGUGCCUAAUACAUGCAAGUCGAGCGAACAGACGAGGAGCUUGCUCCUUUGACGUUAGCGGCGGACGGGUGAGUAACACGUAGGUAACCUACCUAUAAGACUGGGAUAACUUCGGGAAACCGGAGCUAAUACCGGAUAAUAUUUCGAACCGCAUGGUUCGAUAGUGAAAGAUGGCUUUGCUAUCACUUAUAGAUGGACCUGCGCCGGAUUAGCUAGUUGGUAAGGUAACGGCUUACCAAGGCAACGAUACGUAGCCGACCUGAGAGGGUGAUCGGCCACACUGGAACUGAGACACGGUCCAGACUCCGACGGGAGGCAGCAGUAGGGAAUCUUCCGCAAUGGGCGAAAGCCUGACGGAGCAACGCCGCGUGAGUGAUGAAGGUCUUCGGAUCGUAAAACUCUGUUAUUAGGGAAGAACAAACGUGUAAGUAACUGUGCACGUCUUGACGGUACCUAAUCAGAAAGCCACGGCUAACUACGUGCCAGCAGCCGCAGUAA
This 513-nucleotide ribosomal RNA is filed under the name uncultured bacterium. RNAcentral describes it as "partial 16S ribosomal RNA". It matches the Rfam family "Bacterial small subunit ribosomal RNA", at positions 28 to 523 of the family's 1533-position model. The record is from RNAcentral.